Molecule: long non-coding RNA, 290 nt
Filed under: Ananas comosus (pineapple)
Lineage: Eukaryota; Viridiplantae; Streptophyta; Magnoliopsida; Poales; Bromeliaceae
Description: long non-coding RNA (ACOM_LNC042560)
Source: RNAcentral
UAAAAAUAAUCUGAUAAGGUUAAAACCAGUUGAAAAACAUAGUGUAUGACGCGUAAAAGAGAUACAUGUAUCUAUAUUAUUUUAAUAAUUAUGAGUUUGAAAGAUAGGUCACCUAUAUUUGUACUAUUCUAAUAAUUGUGAGUUGCAAGUGGCAAAGGACUUGGUGGUUGAUACCCGAGACCUAAGUUCGAAUCGUAAUUGAUUCACAUUAAUUUCCAGCUAAGUUUAUUUCUAAAUGAAAUAAACGAAGCGGGUAGCGUGCUAUCUAUCUCUCAAAAAAAAUAAAAAUA